CAAGUCGAGGGGUAUAGGUUUUCGGACCUAGAGACCGGCGCACGGGUGCGUAACGCGUAUGCAAUCUACCUUUUACAGAGGGAUAGCCCAGAGAAAUUUGGAUUAAUACCUCANANNUAUUAUUGAAUGGCAUCAUUUAAUAAUUAAAGUCACAACGGUAAAAGAUGAGCAUGCGUCCCAUUAGCUAGUUGGUAAGGUAACGGCUUACCAAGGCAACGAUGGGUAGGGGUCCUGAGAGGGAGAUCCCCCACACUGGUACUGAGACACGGACCAGACUCCUACGGGAGGCAGCAGUGAGGAAUAUUGGUCAAUGGGCGCAAGCCUGAACCAGCCAUGCCGCGUGCAGGAUGACGGUCCUAUGGAUUGUAAACUGCUUUUGUACAGGAAGAAACAGUUCUACGUGUAGAACCUUGACGGUACUGUAAGAAUAAGGAUCGGCUAACUCCGUGCCAGCAGCCGCGGUAAUACGGAGGAUCCAAGCGUUAUCCGGAAUCAUUGGGUUUAAAGGGUCCGUAGGCGGUUUUGUAAGUCAGUGGUGAAAGCCCAUCGCUCAACGGUGGAACGGCCAUUGAUACUGCAAGACUUGAAUUAUUAGGAAGUAACUAGAAUAUGUAGUGUAGCGGUGAAAUGCUUAGAGAUUACAUGGAAUACCAAUUGCGAAGGCAGGUUACUACUAAUGGAUUGACGCUGAUGGACGAAAGCGUGGGGAGCGAACAGGAUUAGAUACCCUGGUAGUCCACGCCGUAAACGAUGGAUACUAGCUGUUCGGAGCAAUCUGAGUGGCUAAGCGAAAGUGAUAAGUAUCCCACCUGGGGGAGUACGUUCG
RNAcentral lists this ribosomal RNA (826 nucleotides) under uncultured Flavobacterium sp. Its description in RNAcentral is "bacterial SSU rRNA". It matches the Rfam family "Bacterial small subunit ribosomal RNA", at positions 58 to 888 of the family's 1533-position model. Lineage: Bacteria; Pseudomonadati; Bacteroidota; Flavobacteriia; Flavobacteriales; Flavobacteriaceae. The record is from RNAcentral.